RNAcentral lists this transfer RNA (73 nucleotides) under Amphiplicatus metriothermophilus. It matches the Rfam family "tRNA". Rfam says of the family: Transfer RNA (tRNA) molecules are approximately 80 nucleotides in length. Their secondary structure includes four short double-helical elements and three loops (D, anti-codon, and T loops). The record is from Rfam by way of RNAcentral. Lineage: Bacteria; Pseudomonadati; Pseudomonadota; Alphaproteobacteria; Parvularculales; Parvularculaceae.
AGGGGUAUAGCUCAGCUGGUAGAGCAUCGGUCUCCAAAACCGAGGGUCGGGGGUUCGAGUCCCUCUGCCCCUG